RNAcentral lists this ribosomal RNA (253 nucleotides) under uncultured bacterium. Its description in RNAcentral is "partial 16S ribosomal RNA". It matches the Rfam family "Bacterial small subunit ribosomal RNA", at positions 524 to 776 of the family's 1533-position model. The record is from RNAcentral.
UACGGGGGGGGCAAGCGUUGUUCGGAAUUACUGGGCGUAAAGGGCUCGUAGGUGGCCAACUAAGUCAGACGUGAAAUCCCUCAGCUUAACUGGGGAACUGCGUCUGAUACUGGAUGGCUUGAGUUUGGGAGAGGGAUGCGGAAUUCCAGGUGUAGCGGUGAAAUGCGUAGAUAUCUGGAGGAACACCGGUGGUGUAGACGGCUCUCUGGACCGUAACUGACGCUGAGGCACGAAAGCGUGGGUAGCAAACAGG